UACAGAGGUCCCAAGCGUUGUUCGGAUUCACUGGGCGUAAAGGGUGCGUAGGCGGUCGGGUAAGUCUGAUGUGAAAUCUCACAGCUUAACUGUGAAACUGCAUUGGAUACUAUCCGGCUCGAGGAAUGGAGGGGAGACUGGAAUACUUGGUGUAGCAGUGAAAUGCGUAGAUAUCAAUAGGAACUCCGGUGGCGAAGGCGGCACGCUGGACCUCUUCUGACGCUGAGGCGCGAAAGCCAGGGGAGCAAACGGG
This 253-nucleotide ribosomal RNA is filed under the name uncultured bacterium. Its description in RNAcentral is "partial 16S ribosomal RNA". It matches the Rfam family "Bacterial small subunit ribosomal RNA", at positions 524 to 776 of the family's 1533-position model. The record is from RNAcentral.